CCUACGGGUGGCAGCAGUGAGGAAUAUUGGUCAAUGGUCGCGAGACUGAACCAGCCAAGUCGCGUGAGGGAUGAAGGUACAGAGGAUCGUAAACCUCUUUUGUCAGGGAACAAAAGCGGGGACGUGUCCCCGGAUGAGUGUACCUGAAGAAAAAGCAUCGGCUAACUCCGUGCCAGCAGCCGCGGUAAUACGGAGGAUGCGAGCGUUAUCCGGAUUUAUUGGGUUUAAAGGGUGCGCAGGCGGACGGUUAAGUCAGCGGUAAAAGUCGGGGGCUCAACCUCUGCGCGCCGUUGAAACUGGGAGUCUUGAGUUGGAGAGAAGUAUGCGGAAUGCGUGGUGUAGCGGUGAAAUGCAUAGAUAUCGCGCAGAACUCCGAUUGCGAAGGCAGCAUGCCGGCUCCACACUGACGCUGAGGCACGAAAGCGUGGGUAUCGAACAGGAUUAGAUUCCCCUGUAGUC
This 459-nucleotide ribosomal RNA is filed under the name uncultured bacterium. Its description in RNAcentral is "partial 16S ribosomal RNA". It matches the Rfam family "Bacterial small subunit ribosomal RNA", at positions 338 to 795 of the family's 1533-position model. The record is from RNAcentral.